AGAUUAGACGCUGUUGCUUUACAGCCUGUAAUUCCCCUGCAGGUGCCACCGUCACAGACUGACAGUCAAAAUACAGAAAAAGUUCCUUCUGUGAACCUCACUCAGUCUGGAUGUGUUUGUGUUUCUCGUGUUGCCCCAUCAUCCACAGUCCGAGACAUUAUUCAAGGAGCAAAGACUGGUUGCUGUUGCGGCAAAAGUUGCAGUACCCAGACAGCAGACAUCAAUAACACCAGCAACAUCACCUGACCAAGAACAAGAGACGAAUGUUUGCAUUACUGGUGGCUGGAAGAAGUCUCUGCCUAAGGCUGAUCACCAGUAGAUCGCAAAGGCAUUCUUCAGUUGGACCAAGAAAGGAGGUGUUCAGCUUAACGGCUCCAUCCUAGACUUUGGUGGCAUCCUCCUCAGCCACAUUUGGGGUCAACAUGAAACCCGGUGUGGACCGCUACUUUGCGCGCCCCCUGUUCCUCUGGAUUCCUCGUAAGAUGUGGAGGCUGAAGCUCGUUUGUCCACAUGCCGACUGCAACAAGAGCGAGCUGAUUUCUACUGGAAUCCAUAAGAAGAUGCGACAAGUAGUGGA
Molecule: long non-coding RNA, 577 nt
Organism: Dreissena polymorpha
Lineage: Eukaryota; Metazoa; Mollusca; Bivalvia; Myida; Dreissenidae
Exons: 4
Source: RefSeq, a predicted model, not a curated record